AGGGUUCGAUUCUGGCUCAGGAUGAACGCUGGCGGCGUGCUUAACACAUGCAAGUCGAACGAGGUUAUUUUUCACGAUCCCCUUCGGGGGUGACGAGGCUUAACCGAGUGGCGGACGGGUGAGUAACGCGUGGGCAACCUGCCCCAUACAGGGGGAUAACAGUUGGAAACGACUGACAAUACCGCAUAAGCGCACGGUACCGCAUGGUACAGUGUAGAAAAACUCCGGUGGUAUGGGAUGGGCCCGCGUCUGAUUAGCUAGUUGGUGGGGUAACGGCUCACCAAGGCGACGAUCAGUAGCCGACCUGAGAGGGUGACCGGCCACAUUGGGACUGAGACACGGCCCAAACUCCUACGGGAGGCAGCAGUGGGGAAUAUUGCACAAUGGGGGAAACCCUGAUGCCAGCGACGCCGCGUGAGUGAUGAAGUUAUUUCGGUAUGUAAAGCUCUAUCAGCAGGGAAGAAAUUGACGGUACCUGACUAAGAACGCCCCGGCUAACUACGUGCCAGCCGCCGC
RNAcentral lists this ribosomal RNA (516 nucleotides) under uncultured bacterium. RNAcentral's name for it is "bacterial SSU rRNA". It matches the Rfam family "Bacterial small subunit ribosomal RNA", at positions 8 to 518 of the family's 1533-position model. The record is from RNAcentral.